AUACGUAGGGUGCAAGCGUUAAUCGGAAUUACUGGGCGUAAAGCGUGCGCAGGCGGUUCGGAAAGAAGGAUGUGAAAUCCCAGGGCUCAACCUUGGAACUGCAUUCUUAACUACCGAACUAGAGUAUGUCAGAGGGGGGUAGAAUUCCGCGUGUAGCAGUGAAAUGCGUAGAUAUGCGGAGGAAUACCGAUGGCGAAGGCAGCCCCCUGGGAUAAUACUGACGCUCAUGCACGAAAGCGUGGGUAGCAAACAGGAUUAGAUACCCUGGUAGUCCACGCCCUAAACGAUGUCAACUAGCUGUUGGGCCCUUCGGGGCUUAGUAGCGUAGCUAACGCGUGAAAUUGACCGCCUGGGGAGUACGGUCGCAAGAUUAAAACUUAAAGGAAUUGACGGGG
RNAcentral lists this ribosomal RNA (395 nucleotides) under uncultured bacterium. RNAcentral describes it as "partial 16S ribosomal RNA". It matches the Rfam family "Bacterial small subunit ribosomal RNA", at positions 523 to 918 of the family's 1533-position model. The record is from RNAcentral.